RNAcentral lists this ribosomal RNA (441 nucleotides) under uncultured bacterium. RNAcentral's name for it is "partial 16S ribosomal RNA". It matches the Rfam family "Bacterial small subunit ribosomal RNA", at positions 338 to 795 of the family's 1533-position model. The record is from RNAcentral.
CCUACGGGAGGCAGCAGUGGGGAAUAUUGCACAAUGGGGGGAACCCUGAUGCAGCGACGCCGCGUGGGUGAAGGAGUAUUUCGGUAUGUAAAGCCCUAUCAGCAGGGAAGAACAAUGACGGUACCUGACUAAGAAGCACCGGCUAAAUACGUGCCAGCAGCCGCGGUAAUACGUAUGGUGCAAGCGUUGUCCGGAUUUACUGGGUGUAAAGGGCGUGCAGCCGGGAAGACAAGUCAGAUGUGAAAUCCCGCGGCUCAACCGCGGAACUGCAUUUGAAACUGUUUUUCUUGAGUACCGGAGAGGUCAUCGGAAUUCCUUGUGUAGCGGUGAAAUGCGUAGAUAUAAGGAAGAACACCAGUGGCGAAGGCGGAUGACUGGACGGCAACUGACGGUGAGGCGCGAAAGCGUGGGGAGCAAACAGGAUUAGAUACCCGGGUAGUC